GCCGCCACCCGGGGUUCCGGUGGCGUUAGGCGGCAGCAGUGGCGCUUCCCGCCGCCCGAGCUUCGGAAACUUCCCGGCCGCGACGCAGGGAACCGGCGCGGAGAACCGAGCAGAGCGGAGGGGUAGGGGGAGAUGGGGGACCGGGGGCCAGGUCACCUCUGAGAGGACUCGCUGAGGCCCAGCACCUCGGCGCCUCCUCUGUUCCCCUGGCCCACCGAGAUCUAGGCCUCGAACAGCACUCCUCACACGCACACCCCCAACCAGAGUCGGAAGCUCGAACUUGGGGAGCGUUCGCGAGAAGGCCGAGAGAGGAGCAGAAAGGGGCGCCCGUGGCCCGGCCUGUAGGGAGCCGAUCGCCCAUGGAGGGUCUGGGCCGCUCGUGCCUGUGGCUGCGCCGGGAGCUGUCGCCCCCGCGGCCG
RNAcentral lists this small RNA (419 nucleotides) under Pongo abelii (Sumatran orangutan). Its description in RNAcentral is "processed transcript". The record is from RNAcentral. Lineage: Eukaryota; Metazoa; Chordata; Mammalia; Primates; Hominidae.